AUGUUAUCACUUCUACCUACACUCUGUUGGUCAAAGAAAGUCAUCCCAAUGAUAAUGGAUCAGAGGAAUAGAUUCCGUCUCUAGUAGGAACAGCAGAAGUCUCAUGACAAAGAGCAUGGAUAUGUGUUCUCGUACAGAGAAGCGAGGAAGACUUGAGAGCAAGCAUCUAAUCUACCAUGUGAAGUUUCAAUCUCCCCACAUUGUCCCAUCUCCAUUCUUGAGUCAAUGUGCUGCCAUCAUCCUACAUCUUUGCCUCCACCUCCCUUCAUCAGAGAUGCACAAAGCUGUUUCUUGAGCUGUGGCCAUCCUGCCCCUACAUGCGGAAACACAGCAAGUGUUGGAGCUGACCCGUGGCUGCCCAUUUUAGACAGGUUUAAUGCCCUCCAGCCUGCCCGAGUCCUCAUGCCCAGGCCCACUGCACACCCCCAUUGACACUGUCUGCUGGUCCACGCGACCCCAGAGUUUUCCACUUCUCGUCUAGAGCCAGCCCCUCACUCAACAGAGGAGAAAUGAACCCUAGAGAGGGCAUGGGAUGAGUGGGUGCUGCCACUGUUAAAAGCAGCACCGUGUGGCUGCACCCCGGGGUUUGUGAGCUCCAAGAGGUGCUCAGUAACUGUUUACUGAACGACCAAAUACCCUUGCCCAAUAUUGCGCUAGGGUCAACAGCAGAUGCUGGUGUCCACCCACAGUGCCCACCACCCUGGCCACAGCACACCCCCCUUUAUCGAUCUCCUUGAUUAAUAAACAGUCCAUGUCGGAGAACAGGAGCGUAAAUCAUGCAUCUCUUUGUGCCCUUCUCCAUAUUUCUUCUUUUGUUUCUUGGGGAGAGGCUGAGGCAAGUCAACUCACAAAAAUGUGCUUCCCCUGAAUGGG
RNAcentral lists this long non-coding RNA (873 nucleotides) under Papio anubis (olive baboon). RNAcentral's name for it is "lncRNA (ENSPANG00000051076.1)". Lineage: Eukaryota; Metazoa; Chordata; Mammalia; Primates; Cercopithecidae. The record is from RNAcentral.